UCCAAUCCCAAAAUAAACAAUCUUUUUCCCUCAUUUACCUGGAUCGACUUAAUCCGCCUCUUUUCUUCCUACUCAUAUGCGCCUCAACUUUCUUUCUUCUCAUCAGACAUCGACGCCAGUUUUUUCUUCCACCCUUCCUCCUCCAGCCCCGAUCACGUCUGACACCGCUGCUUUGCAUGUGUCGGCUUUGCCUCCGGCUCUAACAGUUCACCUCCGACAUCUUCUUCACAUAUUUUUUCCCUUUUUUCUUUGUCUUUAGUUCGACUUAAAUCCUUGAAAAUUGAGUAUGAUAGUUGUUUUCCCUAAAAAUCGAGCAUAAAGAGAUAUUGCAUAACAGCUACAAAUAAUGGCAUCUUGAUGCUAGAAUCUCAUGUGGUGAUGUUUGGAAUGCUUGAAAGUCUGAAAUCAUAUGUGGUGUCGAAGUGAAUUAGUUAAUGAGCUUAAAGCUUGUACGUUGAGUUGAUUAACCACAUAUCACUGACUUGGAAUAACUAUUAAGGGUUUUUUUUUCAAGAAUGUGUUUGUACUUGUCAUGAUGUGUAAGAUAUAGCAAUGUACUAAUAUUAAUUAUUUGAUUAUCGCUUCAUAGUUUCAA
Lactuca sativa (garden lettuce) is the source of this 595-nucleotide long non-coding RNA. RefSeq lists it as uncharacterized. The record is from RefSeq and is a predicted model, not a curated record. NCBI's taxonomy places the organism in Eukaryota, Viridiplantae, Streptophyta, Magnoliopsida, Asterales, Asteraceae.